Molecule: transfer RNA, 88 nt
Filed under: Thermoplasmata archaeon HGW-Thermoplasmata-2
Lineage: Archaea; Methanobacteriati; Thermoplasmatota; Thermoplasmata
Description: tRNA-Lys
Source: RNAcentral
GCGGGGAUAGCCCAGCCCGGUAUCGCGAUCUCUACUUUUUAUCCAGUGGUGCGAAAGCGCCUCGGGAGUUCAAAUCUCCCUCCUCGCG